RNAcentral lists this ribosomal RNA (551 nucleotides) under Lamproderma album. RNAcentral's name for it is "bacterial SSU rRNA". It matches the Rfam family "Eukaryotic small subunit ribosomal RNA", at positions 45 to 548 of the family's 1831-position model. The record is from RNAcentral. Lineage: Eukaryota; Evosea; Eumycetozoa; Stemonitida; Stemonitidae.
UAAGCCAUGCAUGCCUUCGAAUAAGAGGAAGCAAUUCUCUCUGAAUCUGCGAACGGCUCCGCAAACCAGUUGUAAACUAUAGCAAGCAGGUCCUUUGCUGGCCCUCACGGGCUGGCACUGGGCGAUAUGGAUAACCCUGGUAAUUCUGAGGCUAAUACAUGAGCGUAAACCCUGGUUGACCGGGCUUCGGCCUGGGAUUCUGGGGGGCGUGCGAUUUCAGGCUUGGUAACUCCGGGAAAGGGCGCACGUCCAGACCGCGCUAUAAAGGUCAGUCUCCCUCGGGGGGCUGCCCCAGCGGCUCUUGCUGUGUGCUUCUGACCUAUCAACUAGACGGCAGCGUAAGGGACAUGCUAUGGUGACAACGGGUACAGAGGAUUAGGGUUCGAUCCUGGAGAGUGGGCCUGAGAGAUUGCUCAUACUUCUAAGGAAGGCAGCAGGCGCGCAACGUUCCCAUUGGGCAAUGCCCGAGGGCGUUAGGGGACAUAUGAAUGCCUGCCCAUUGGGUGGGCAAUUCAAAUGGGUCUGUUGUAAAUAGGCUCUCGAGUAACAAU